UUCCACGCUGCAAAUCGCUCAUCCGCCGCCCGCAUCCACACCAAAACACAGGGCGGGGAAAAAGCAGGGAGUAAAAAAGGGUGUUUGCUCUUCGCCUUUGCCACGGGAGGUGAAGCAACCCCUCACCGGGCGCAUCCCGGCACCUACACCCGGCUGCACGCGUCUGCCCGAAGCCGGUAAACACGGCGUCGACUGCUCCCCCCCGACGCCCGUGCAGGGGCCGCCCUUCCCACGGCGUUAUGUAACUAAAGAGCACAGUGGGCACCGUAUCUCCUGGGGGCAGCUUUGCUAAGUGGGUGAAUUUGUACCAGGGCAGCAUUUGGCCCAAGGUGAUCAUGUGCAACACCCAUUACCAUGAGGUCAGGAGGCUGUGACAGGCCACCACCAACCUUAUCACAUCUGCUUGGCUCCACAUCCCUGCCUGACCCAGCAGCAUCACUGAAGAGGAGUCACUCCUGCCAGUGCUCCCCUCUGCCCAGGAGCUGGGAAAACUCCCAGGAUCAGCAGAAACAUCACAGAAUGGGCUCAGCUCCUCUUCUGCUGGAGAGCCUGCAGUGGCACGCAACCUGGAAAGAAGUAGGUUAAUGCAAAAUUGGUGCAAGAAUGGGAAGGAUCUGGACUUUUGUCACAUCAUCUUCCAAGCACAUCAGUAACAACAAAGUAUUGUUUCUUGUACUUCAAAAAGAGGUGAAUGUUUCUGCAUGGUGGGAAAUCCAACUUGCACACCUGAAAUGCAAGAAAAAUCAUAUGAGCAAAAGACUCAGAAAUUCAUUUCAGAUGUAACCAGAUACACCUUCUGACAGACUGGAAUACUUAAAAUCUUCUUUAACCAGCAGCAUGUCAAGACAUGCCUGCUUUGGACACUCUUAAGACAUCCAGCCCCCAUAUUUUUCAUACCCUCCUAAUUACAUUCAUAUGUUUGGUUUCAUAUUUGACCUCUCUGUUGCAACAGAGUGCCAAGCAAAGCACUUCUCCUAGGUCUGACACAAAAAUUAAGCUGGAGAGGAUGGGGUAUUCAAGAUUGUCAUAUCCCUCAUACACACACUAGAGUGACAGGC
This is a long non-coding RNA of Calypte anna (Anna's hummingbird), 1058 nucleotides long. RefSeq lists it as uncharacterized. NCBI's taxonomy places the organism in Eukaryota, Metazoa, Chordata, Aves, Apodiformes, Trochilidae. The record is from RefSeq and is a predicted model, not a curated record. The transcript has 3 exons.